GCCCGGCUAGCUCAAUCGGUAGAGCGUGAGACUCUUAGUAUUCACGGUCUAAUAAACUCGAUUACACGGCAUCUCAAGGUUGUGGGUUCGACCCCCACGUCGGGCU
RNAcentral lists this transfer RNA (106 nucleotides) under Bimuria novae-zelandiae CBS 107.79. It matches the Rfam family "tRNA". From Rfam's summary of the family: Transfer RNA (tRNA) molecules are approximately 80 nucleotides in length. Their secondary structure includes four short double-helical elements and three loops (D, anti-codon, and T loops). Lineage: Eukaryota; Fungi; Ascomycota; Dothideomycetes; Pleosporales; Didymosphaeriaceae. The record is from Rfam by way of RNAcentral.